GCCCCCUUAGCUCAGGGGAUAGAGCAACGGCCUCCGGAGCCGUGUGCGCAGGUUCGAAUCCUGCAGGGGGCGCCC
Molecule: transfer RNA, 75 nt
Filed under: Actinomadura soli
Lineage: Bacteria; Bacillati; Actinomycetota; Actinomycetes; Streptosporangiales; Thermomonosporaceae
Also listed under: 1 other name
Description: Actinomadura sp. 14C53 tRNA-Arg
Rfam family: tRNA
About the family: Transfer RNA (tRNA) molecules are approximately 80 nucleotides in length. Their secondary structure includes four short double-helical elements and three loops (D, anti-codon, and T loops).
Source: RNAcentral